AAUUACCUACUAAAAUCACUAGCCAGUUUUUUGUGAGUUCAUUAAUCAUAUUUUUUAUUUAAAACUAAAAUUUGUUAAUAAUGCUUAGUAAUGCAUAUAUUUUGUAUUUUUAGCUUUCCAGAAGAUCCUGCGAAGAAGAUAUAAAGUAUAGAUCAGAUUUGUUAAUAGAGGAGUAUGUUCAAAACACUUUUUAGAAAAAGAUAUUGACAGAACUUCACUUUCAUCUGUUCGUUUGAGAGACUGUGCUGUUCCAAUAGCUUAUGUCACACAGAAUCAGCUGAGAGAAGUGGUCUACAAAAAACCAGAAAGGAAUAUGUGGCUACGAAAAGCAAAAGAAAGGUUUACAAAGCAAAUGUGACACAUUUUUUUAUAAUAUAUAGGAAUGUCAGUAAAUUACAUUAAAAAAUGUAUGUAAAGAUUUUUUGCAAUAAAAAUGUUUAUAUCUA
Diabrotica virgifera virgifera (western corn rootworm) is the source of this 446-nucleotide long non-coding RNA. RefSeq lists it as uncharacterized. The transcript has 2 exons. Lineage: Eukaryota; Metazoa; Arthropoda; Insecta; Coleoptera; Chrysomelidae. The record is from RefSeq and is a predicted model, not a curated record.